Molecule: ribosomal RNA, 459 nt
Filed under: uncultured bacterium
Lineage: Bacteria
Description: partial 16S ribosomal RNA
Rfam family: Bacterial small subunit ribosomal RNA
Source: RNAcentral
CCUACGGGAGGCAGCAGUGAGGAAUAUUGGUCAAUGGGCGCGAGCCUGAACCAGCCAAGUCGCGUGAGGGAAGACGGUCCUAUGGAUUGUAAACCUCUUUUGUCGGGGAGCAAAAGACGCCACGCGUGGCGUUCCGAGAGUACCCGAAGAAAAAGCAUCGGCUAACUCCGUGCCAGCAGCCGCGGUAAUACGGAGGAUGCGAGGGUUAUCGGGUUUUAUUGGGUGUAAGGGGUGCGCAGGCGGAAGAUCAAGUCAGCGGGAAAAUUGGGAGGCUCAACCUCUUCGAGCCGUUGAAACUGGUUUUCUUGAGUGAGCGAGAAGUAUGCGGAAUGCGUGGUGUAGCGGUGAAAUGCAUAGAUAUCACGCAGAACUCCGAUUGCGAAGGCAGCAUACCGGCGCUCAACUGACGCUCAUGCACGAAAGUGUGGGUAUCGAACAGGAUUAGAUACCCUUGUAGUC